AGAGUUUGAUCAUGGCUCAGGAUGAACGCUAGCGGCAGGCUUAAUACAUGCAAGUCGAGGGGUAACAGGUCCUUCGGGAUGCUGACAACCGGCAAACGGGUGAGUAACACGUAUGCAAUCUACCUUUAACUGGGGCACAACUUCGGGAAACUGGAGCUAAUUCCCCAUAACAUUGUGAAAUCUCAUGGUUUUACAAUUAAAAUUCCGAUGGUUAGAGAUGAGCGUGCGUCCGAUUAGAUAGUUGGCGGGGUAACGGCCCACCAAGUCAACGAUCGGUAGCUGAUGUGAGAGCAUGAUCAGCCACACGGGCACUGAGACACGGGCCCGACUCCUACGGGAGGCAGCAGUAGGGAAUAUUGGGCAAUGGAGGCAACUCUGACCCAGCCAUGCCGCGUGAAGGAUGAAGGUCCUACGGAUUGUAAACUUCUUUUAUUAGGGAAGAAACUCUCGAAUUCAUUCGGGACUGACGGUACCUAAGGAAUAAGCACCGGCUAACUCCGUGCCAGCAGCCGCGGUA
This 517-nucleotide ribosomal RNA is filed under the name uncultured Bacteroidota bacterium. RNAcentral's name for it is "bacterial SSU rRNA". It matches the Rfam family "Bacterial small subunit ribosomal RNA", at positions 8 to 522 of the family's 1533-position model. Lineage: Bacteria; Pseudomonadati; Bacteroidota. The record is from RNAcentral.